UCCAGACUCCUACGGGAGGCAGCAGUGGGGGAUAUUGCACAAUGGGGGAAACCCUGAUGCAGCGACGCCGCGUGAGUGAAGAAGUAUUUCGGUAUGUAAAGCUCUAUCAGCAGGGACGAAAAUGACGGUACCUGAGUAAGAAGCCCCGGCUAACUACGUGCCAGCAGCCGCGGUAAUACGUAGGGGGCAAGCGUUAUCCGGAUUUACUGGGUGUAAAGGGAGCGUAGACGGCAGCGCAAGUCUGGAGUGAAAUGCCGGGGCCCAACCCCGGAACUGCUCUGGAAACUGUGAAGCUGGAGUGCAGGAGAGGUAAGCGGAAUUCCUGGUGUAGCGGUGAAAUGCGUAGAUAUCAGGAGGAACACCGGUGGCGAAGGCGGCCUGCUGGACGACAACUGACGCUGAGGCUCGAAAGCGUGGGGAGCAAACAGGAUUAGAUACCCCCGUA
Molecule: ribosomal RNA, 445 nt
Filed under: uncultured bacterium
Lineage: Bacteria
Description: bacterial SSU rRNA
Rfam family: Bacterial small subunit ribosomal RNA
Source: RNAcentral